CGUUCGUCGCGGGGGCGGUUCGGGUUCGUCUCGUCCCGGCCUUACAGCUCCCGCCAUCGAGCGUGCCGGGCGCGUUCGCUUUAAAGCGCUCCUUCUGCAGCGAGUGCGUGCGGUACCGCAGCGGCAAGCGGUGCUUCUGGUCAGCCCUGCGCCUCGGUUUUGUGCGGGGCGAGCUGGGUAAACCGGCUGCGCCUAUUGAAAAGCCCUCUGCGUUUUAGUCUCUUGUUGAAACUUCACCAAGUGACCGGCAAAUGCGUUUCCGUGCUGCUGCUACAGAUCAGCACAUCCUCUUGCCACGUUGCUGCUAGAUCCCUUGCCCAGCUGAUGGUGUGGUCUCAAAAACAGUUGUGAUGGCCCAGGGCCCGGAGCAAGCAGCCGGCUGGGAGACGGGCUGGUGACUUCUGAUACAACCAGACACUUAAGGGAAGGAUUCAUAAAGAGAAGCCUGGAAAGACUAAAGCUGCAAGAACAGGAGUUGAAAAAAAGGAAAGAGAAAAAAAAAAAGGGGAGGGAAAAGAGAAGAGGGUUGAAAGGUGAGGCUGUACUUUAGAGAAUGUCCAUCAGCUGUUUCUUCAGAUUUGUUACACUAUUUCAUACCAAGUGGCAUCCAAGAAGGGAGUUGUCAACUGUAAAAACCCAGGCUUUGAGGAAACGGGAAUCCAAGAACUUGAACCAAUCCUUAUAGUUUUUAAUUUGUGUUACUGUGGGAAAGAAAAGCAACCUAACUCAGUGUGUAAGGCAUCAGAUGGAGUCAGUUAUGAGAAAGUGGUUGGACUAGAGACAUUCUGAGGUA
This 793-nucleotide long non-coding RNA is filed under the name Meleagris gallopavo (turkey). Its description in RNAcentral is "lncRNA (ENSMGAG00000017809.1)". The record is from RNAcentral. Lineage: Eukaryota; Metazoa; Chordata; Aves; Galliformes; Phasianidae.